Molecule: ribosomal RNA, 271 nt
Filed under: Agonopterix l-nigrum
Lineage: Eukaryota; Metazoa; Arthropoda; Insecta; Lepidoptera; Depressariidae
Also listed under: 1 other name
Description: partial 28S ribosomal RNA
Rfam family: Eukaryotic large subunit ribosomal RNA
Source: RNAcentral
GGAAAGAGCCCAGCACUGAAUCCCGCUGUUGUCACGGCAGCGGGAGAUGUGGUGUUCGGGAGGUUCCGCUUUCUCGUCGUCGCAUCUCCUGUCCAAGUUCGUCUUGAACGGGGCCGUUUUCCCGUAGAGGGUGCCAGGCCCGUAGCGACGGAGGGCGGCGGCGAGAGGGACUCUCCUCAGAGUCGGGUUGCUUGAGAGUGCAGCCCUAAGUGGGUGGUAAACUCCAUCUAAGGCUAAAUAUUACCGCGAGACCGAUAGCGAACAAGUACCG